GAGGGUGCAAGCGUUAUCCGGAAUCAUUGGGUUUAAAGGGUCCGCAGGCGGACUGAUAAGUCAGUGGUGAAGUCCCGUAGCUUAACUACGGAACUGCCAUUGAAACUGUCAGUCUUGAAUUCGGUCGAAGUGGGCGGAAUGUGUCAUGUAGCGGUGAAAUGCAUAGAUAUGACACAGAACACCGAUAGCGAAGGCAGCUCACUAGGCCUGAAUUGACGCUCAGGGACGAAAGCGUGGGGAGCGAACAGGAUUAGAUACCCUGGUAGUCCACGCCGUAAACGACCAUUACUCGUUAUUAGCGAUAUACUGUUAGUGACUAAGCGAAAGUGAUAAGUAAUGCACCUGGGGAGUACGAUCGCAAGGUUGAAACUCAAAGGAAUUGACGGGGGCCCGCACAAGCGGUGGAGCAUGUGGUUUAAUUCGAUGAUACGCGAGGAACCUUACCAGGGCUUAAAUGCAUAAUGACAGGUCUGGAAACAGAUCCUUCUUCGGACAUUUUGCAAGGUGCUGCAUGGCUGUCGUCAGCUCGUGCCGUGAGGUGUUGGGUUAAGUCCCGCAACGAGCGCAACCCCUAUCUUUAGUUGCCAGCGUGUAAUGUCGGGGACUCUAAAGAAACUGCCUACGCAAGUAGUGAGGAAGGCGGGGACGACGUCAAGUCAUCACGGCCCUUACGUCCUGGGCCACACACGUGCUACAAUGGUAGAUACAGAGGGCAGCUACCCCGCGAGGGGAUGCGAAUCUCGAAAGUCUAUCUCAGUUCGGAUUGGAGUCUGCAACUCGACUCUAUGAAGCUGGAAUCGCUAGUAAUCGCGCAUCAGCCAUGGCGCGGUGAAUACGUUCCCGGGCCUUGUACACACCGCCCGUCAAGCCAUGGAAGCUGGGAGUGCCUGAAGUCGGUAACCGUAAGGAGCUGCCUAGGGUAAAACUAGUAACUGGGGCUAAGUCGUAACAAGGUAGCCGUACCGGAAGGUGCGGCUGGAACAUCUCCUUUCUAGAGAAUAGCCAUUUAAUGUGUUUACUAUUUAUGUUGUUUUCCUAAUCUCAUAACUUAAGGAUAAAACCUUAUAAGAAGUCCUCUCUAACUCAAGUUGGUGAGAGCGGGAUCUAAUAGUCCCGUAGCUCAGUUGGUUAGAGCACUACACUGAUAAUGUAGGGGUCAGCAGUUCAAAUCUGCUCGGGACUACUUUUAUGAAAUAAUUAAUGCAGAAUGUGACAAAUUUCGAUAACGAUUGAAAUUUUUUCUGCACUAUAACUUACUGGGGGAUUAGCUCAGCUGGCUAGAGCACUUGCCUUGCACGCAAGGGGUCAUCGGUUCGACUCCGAUAUCCUCCACUAAUGGCUUAUUUUCAUUGAUCAAUUGAUUUUGAUUGAUGUAACUAUAUAAGUUCUUUGACAUAUUGGAAUUGAUUGAAGUAAGAUUAAGUAGAAGUAAGUAGAAAACUAAUAAGUUACUAAGGGCACACGGGGAAUGCCUAGGCUCUCAAAGGCUAAGAAGGACGUGAUAAGCUGCGAUAAGGUACGGGGAGAAGCAAAUAUUUUGUGAUCCGAACAUUU
Molecule: small RNA, 1554 nt
Filed under: uncultured marine bacterium
Lineage: Bacteria
Description: bacterial SSU rRNA
Rfam family: Bacterial small subunit ribosomal RNA (bases 1-991)
Source: RNAcentral